GUCGACCAGUCUAUUAAUAGAAACUGAUUGAAGAUUUUGUUUCAAAAGAAACAGAAGACCACAGCAAUUUUCAAAGCAAUAGAGAUACCAUGCUGUUAUCUUCAGCAAUGUGCAUUCACAUGCAGACCUGCUAAGGAUUGAUGAUUUACCCUCAUUUACAUUAUCUUGUCUACUUGGAACGUACUAAACAUCGCCACAAGAAGAACAAA
Non-coding RNA from Chiloscyllium plagiosum (whitespotted bambooshark), 209 nucleotides. The record is from RefSeq and is a predicted model, not a curated record. NCBI's taxonomy places the organism in Eukaryota, Metazoa, Chordata, Chondrichthyes, Orectolobiformes, Hemiscylliidae.